UCCCUGGUGGCUCAGUGGUAAAGCGUCUACCUGCAAUGUGGGAGACCUGGGUUCGAUUCCUGGGUCGGGAA
This 71-nucleotide transfer RNA is filed under the name Ovis aries (sheep). It matches the Rfam family "tRNA". Rfam says of the family: Transfer RNA (tRNA) molecules are approximately 80 nucleotides in length. Their secondary structure includes four short double-helical elements and three loops (D, anti-codon, and T loops). The record is from Rfam by way of RNAcentral. Lineage: Eukaryota; Metazoa; Chordata; Mammalia; Artiodactyla; Bovidae.